CUGUGCAAAGGUAGCAUAAUCAUUAGUCUUUUAAUUGAAGGCUUGUAUGAAGGGUCUGACAAAGAAAAAGCUGUCUUUAAUUUUAUUUUUGAAUUUAACUUUUAAGUGAAAAGGCUUAAAUAAAUUUAAGGGACGAUAAGACCCUAUAAAUCUUUAUAUUAAAUUAUUUUCUUGAAUUUUAAUAGUUUGUCUAGAAUUGUCAAGUAAAACAAUAAAUAUUUUGUUGGGGUGACAAGAAUAUAAAAAUAACUGUUCUUUAAAAAAACAAAGUUGUUUGUAAUAAAAAUUUGUAGAUCCUUUUUUUAAGAUUAAAAGUUUAAGUUACUUUAGGGAUAACAGCGUUAUUUUUUUUGAGAGUUCUUAUCGAAAGAAAAGUUUGCGACCUCGAUGUUGAAUUAAAAUUUCUCUACGGUGUAGAAGUUGUAUGAGAGAGUCUGUUCGACUUUUGAAAUUUU
This 455-nucleotide ribosomal RNA is filed under the name Paramunida poorei. RNAcentral describes it as "partial 16S ribosomal RNA". It matches the Rfam family "Bacterial large subunit ribosomal RNA", at positions 1946 to 2597 of the family's 2925-position model. The record is from RNAcentral. Lineage: Eukaryota; Metazoa; Arthropoda; Malacostraca; Decapoda; Munididae.